UGAUACGCGAGAAACCUUAACCAGGGCUUGACAUAUACAGGAAUGUUGUAGAGAUACAGCAGCCGCUUGCGGUCUGUAUACAGGUGCUGCAUGGCUGUCGUCAGCUCGUGCUGUGAAGUGUUGGUUAGUCCCGCACGAGCGCAACCCCUAUCAUCUGUUGCCAGCAUUUAAGGUGGGGACUCAGAUGAGACUGCCGGUGACAAACCGGAGGAAGGUGGGGACGACGUCAAGUCAUCAUGGCCCUUAUGUCCUGGGCUACACACGUGCUACAAUGGCCGGUACAGAGUGAAGCGAAACCGCGAGGUGAAGCAAAACGCAGAAAGCCGGUCUCAGUACGGAUUGGAGUCUGAAACUCGACUUCAUGAAGUUGGAAUCGCUAGUAAUCGCGCAUCAGCAUGGCGCGGUGAAUACGUUCCCGGGCCUU
Molecule: ribosomal RNA, 424 nt
Filed under: uncultured Spirochaeta sp.
Lineage: Bacteria; Pseudomonadati; Spirochaetota; Spirochaetia; Spirochaetales; Spirochaetaceae
Description: bacterial SSU rRNA
Rfam family: Bacterial small subunit ribosomal RNA
Source: RNAcentral